Molecule: ribosomal RNA, 84 nt
Filed under: Lonepinella koalarum
Lineage: Bacteria; Pseudomonadati; Pseudomonadota; Gammaproteobacteria; Pasteurellales; Pasteurellaceae
Source: RNAcentral
UUCCAUGCCGAACUCAGAAGUGAAAUGCUGUGAUGCCGAUGGUAGUGUUGGGUCUCCCAAUGUGAGAGUAGGUCACCAUCAGGU